Helianthus annuus (common sunflower) is the source of this 1284-nucleotide long non-coding RNA. RefSeq lists it as uncharacterized. The transcript has 3 exons. NCBI's taxonomy places the organism in Eukaryota, Viridiplantae, Streptophyta, Magnoliopsida, Asterales, Asteraceae. The record is from RefSeq and is a predicted model, not a curated record.
AAUCAAAUCCACAGACACAUAUGUCUACAAAGUACAUACAUAACAAAAGACGCAAUCACACACUCAAACCCAACUUACAGACACACUCAGAGCUUUCUCUUUUCUUCACCGCCGGCAAACCUAAAACCGACCCCAACCUUAAAUCGGAAAAAACCUAGCCGGAAAAAGAACAUCAAACAAACAUAUACCUCACGGCGCGGUUUGUCGCAAGUGGAUUUCCACCUCUGGCAGACAAGGGCAGCAGUUGGUGGUCGACACAAGCGACAGCUGCGGUGGCGUUGGCUAGUAUGGAAAACAGACCGGUUCACGGUGCCGAGCGGUGGUAUGCGAUUUAGAAUGUUUUUGAGCUUCAUCGAGGAACUAAGUCGAGACAAAGCCUAUUUUGUCAACAUUAAACAUCUUUGGCCCCUCAAAUUUGGCGACAGUCAGUUUAUUUGGUUAGUGUGUGUCUCACUUGUUCAUCAGGUCGAUGGCCAUAUUCGGCUUACUGAAGGAAACAAUACAGGCCCGAUCAACUUGGAAAUCCAGGUCAACAUUAUGAUGAAUUCACCAUGCUUGAAGUUGCAGAGAAUGUGAAAGAGGUCAGUUCUGGAAGUUCUUUAACAAUUUUAUUGUUAUGUCCAAAAUGCCCUUGAAUUUGUAUGUCCAAAAUGCCCUUGAAUUUGGCGUUUAAUAUGAGUAUGAAGACCACAUAUGGUAGCUGAUAAACCCGAAAGUGAAAAUAACACAUGUGGAAAACACGCAUGAUGAUCCUCGACAAAGAAAGCCAUUGAUAACGAAGCCAAAGGAGGUGCUUGAUUCGGAACCAACAAUCAAAUUACGCUAUGGACUCCCCCCUAUGGACGAGGACUUCCGCAAGAGGCUUGGACUACCAAGGACUGCAUGAGUGUGAGCGUGUGCGUGUCCUCAAACCGCAAGAAUUUCGGAAGUAAUCGUGCUGCAAAUGAAGCUUCUGCUGGAACUGCACUCUUUCACCCGCUCUGAUUUUCAAUGAUGCCAGAUACAUUGAAAAGAAAAGGUUUGGACAGUAACUUAUAGAUGAGAUUUUCAUUUGAUAUAUGCAAUUGAAACUUUUGGGCUUAAUUUGUAACUUUUGUAUAAUUUCAGGGACUAAUGUUGAAAUUUACUGUUUUAUGGAACAUGUUAGAUGUAGUUAUGUACUAAUUUGAGAGGUUUUAAUCAUGUGUGAAUGCUUCACUUGUCUUGUCCUGUUGUAUAUAUGUAACGUACAUAAUUUGCAUUUGAUGAUCAUUAGCUCAACUUCUAUAAUAAUCACUUUAAAAC